AGGACAAACGCUGGCGGCGUGUAUUAGGCAUGCAAGUCGCACGGACACUUCGGUGUCAGUGGCGGACGGGUGAGUAACACGUGGGUAACCUGCCCUACAGUGGGGAAUAACUCGCCGAAAGGCGAGCUAAUACCGCAUUCUACUCCCGGUGAGAAUCCGGGUAGUGAAAGCAGUAAUGCGCUGAAGGAGGGGCCCGCGGCCGAUUAGCUUGUUGGUGGGGUAAUGGCCUACCAAGGCGACGAUCGGUAGCUGGUCUGAGAGGAUGGUCAGCCACACGGGGACUGAGAUACGGCCCCGACUCCGUACGGGAGGCAGCAGCUAAGAAUCUUGCGCAAUGGGCGAAAGCCUGACGCAGCAACGCCGCGUGGGGGACGAAGGCCGUUCGGGUACCGUAAACCCCGUUUUUGGCGGAGGGAAGAAGUUCUGACGGUACCGUCGACGAAUAACGCCACGGACCUAACGUACGUCGCCGAGACACGCCGC
Molecule: ribosomal RNA, 483 nt
Filed under: uncultured soil bacterium
Lineage: Bacteria
Description: bacterial SSU rRNA
Rfam family: Bacterial small subunit ribosomal RNA
Source: RNAcentral